This 498-nucleotide long non-coding RNA is filed under the name Equus caballus (horse). RNAcentral's name for it is "lncRNA (ENSECAG00000045373.1)". The record is from RNAcentral. Lineage: Eukaryota; Metazoa; Chordata; Mammalia; Perissodactyla; Equidae.
UAACAUUAUGUCUUGUGUGUGCAGAUGUAUGAUUAAGACACAGUCUCAGAAAUGAAGAUGCUGAGACCAGUGGUGCCCAGGCCAAAGCCUACCAGGGGGCCAGAGAGAAGUGGAAGACUGGAAGUUCUGGCAAGUUCUACCUGGAAGCAGGGGCCAAGAAGCACCUACCCAUGGGGGCCAGUGUCUGGCAGGUCCUUGGAGGCUGCUGUGUUCUCACGCCUCACCACCAGGCCCCAAGACUGCUGUAGAUUCUCACUGUUGGAGUUCACCUUCGGUUUUCCACUUCUCUCAACUUGUGAAGCCAGGACAGAAUAUCACCUUUCAGGAGGCGUGCUGCCUCAUUUGGCGCUGUUAAGAUAAGAGAAGCAAAAACUUAAUUGAUGGAGAGUGACAAGGUAGAAAGAAAAAAAACAUCUUAAAUAUACAUCUCUCUGAAGACACCUGAGAAGUCCAACUACUUGUUUACUUGCAUAUAUGGCUUACAGCCUGCUCGUAAGG